Molecule: ribosomal RNA, 501 nt
Filed under: uncultured bacterium
Lineage: Bacteria
Description: partial 16S ribosomal RNA
Rfam family: Bacterial small subunit ribosomal RNA
Source: RNAcentral
GACGAACGCUGGCGGCGUGCUUAACACAUGCAAGUCGAACGGUGAAUCACCUUCCUUUUGGUGGGUGUGGAUUAGUGGCGAACGGGCGAGUAACACGUUAGUAACCUGCCCCCUUCUUCUGGAUUAACGCCUGAAAGUGUGGCUAAUACGGGAUAUUCUGUUCCUGCUGCAUGGCGGGUGUGGGAAAGAUGCUCUUUUGGGUGUUUUUGGACGGGGAUGGGCUCGCGGGCUAUCUGUUUGUUGGUGGGGUGAUAGCCUACCAAGGCGGUGACGGGUAGCCGACCUGGGAGGGUGGACGGUCGCAUUGGAACUGGGACACGGACCAGGCGACUACGGGAGGGAGCAGUGGGGAAGAGUACGCAAUGGGGGCAAGCCUGAUGCAGCGACGCCGCGUGAGAGACGGCGGCCUUCGGGGUGUAAACCUCUUUCGCCAGUGAAGCAGGCCUGUCCCUUGUGGGUGGGUUGACGGUAGCUGGAGAAGAAGCGCCGGCUAACUACGUG